This 2401-nucleotide long non-coding RNA is filed under the name Eucalyptus grandis. RNAcentral's name for it is "long non-coding RNA (EGRA_LNC005311)". Lineage: Eukaryota; Viridiplantae; Streptophyta; Magnoliopsida; Myrtales; Myrtaceae. The record is from RNAcentral.
AGAGAAGUGAUGGACAUUAAUUGGGACAAGACUUCUCUCUCUCCUCCCUCUCCUCCCUUAACGCCAGCCACUCACUCUCUCCCUCACUCUCACUUUUAUUUUGAAUCAAAAACUCACCUUUCUCUCUCUUGGAGUAGCCGGAUCACCCCCUCCUCCCCCCCAAUAGGCAUUCUCAUCUUCAUUCAAGCUUAUUUCUUCAUAUUUCCUCUCAUUCUACCUCAUCGACGACUGUCCGUUGAAUCCUUGACGCCAAACCGUCGUUUGCGCUAAACUACCUUCAAAGCCAACCGACUAGCCUCCUUAAGGGGUUGUUUGGUGUUGCUUAGCCCUUGUUGAAGCUCCCUCUCACUUAUUUUUUCUCUAAUUUAGUCUCUUGUAAAGCCCGAAGGCCGUGCCGAUGCCAAACCAAUGCCGGACCGCCGCCAAACCUCCAUCGGAGCCUCAACCAGCUGUUGUCCAGGUGCCGUCUGGCCGUGUUGUCCCCCUGACGCGUUUCGAAGCCCAAGUCAUUUGUGAGUGACUUCCUAGCCCUUGAUUAGGAUCAUCAUUGCAUUUAGGGAGUAGUUUAGGACUUAUGAGUAGUUAUAAGAUGAUUUGUUGACGUGAUGAGUUAUUGAUCGACUUAGAUAGGUUAUUGAGUUUCAAAACGAUAGGUUAUCUUUUUUAGGGUGACAAGUUGACGGGUUAUGAUGAGUGAAAUUGAUAUGAGGUUUUAUUAUGCCAUAAUAUGAUGAAAUGUUAUUAUGUGCUAUAAGGAUUAUUGGUUAGAUGUGAUAUAUGGGAUAUGUGAGAUAAGACUCAUUGGUUAGAUGUGAUAUUUGGGUUGUGUGCUAUAGGGAUUAUGUGCUAGAUGCAUUAUUUGUGUUAUGUGCUAUAAGGAUUAUUGGUUAGAUGUGAUAUUUAGGUUAUGUGCUAUAAGGAUGAUUUGUUAGAUGUGAUAUUUGGGUUAUGUGCUAUAAGGAUUAUUGGUUAGAUGUGACAUUCGGGUUAUGUUUUGUAUGGAUUAUGAUGAUUUUAUUCUACUUUGAUAAGUAGUCUAUAUGCCAUGAGUUUAUGAAGUAAUGGUGCAUAUAUUUGUGAUACAAUGUAACGCACGUGUAUGACAUGAUGACAUAUAACAAAUGAAGUAUCACUUGGGUUAAAUAAGAAAGAUAAGAAAUGGAAUGUGUAAUGGUAUGCUCAUUGAUCACCUAAGACCCUGUGUUUUACGUGGGGUGUGAACCUGUCCUAAUGUGUUUUAUGUGGGACGAUACUUGAUUUACUUCGGAUGUCCCUAAGUCAACGGAAUGCCGUUUGCGGAUGGAUUUCAAAACGAAAUUCCUUACAGGAAUGCCCCCAAAUCAAUGGGAUGCCGUGCUCAAUAAGGCGAAACAAUGCUUAGUUACGUUAGAUGAUUGCGAACUUUCGAGUUAGCCUUAGGUCCUAAGUGGUUCUAAUAAUCUGGACAAAUUUUUAUGGAAAGUGCAUGAGAUUCAUAUAUAUUUAGGUCUGGAUUAUUGCAUGGCAUGAGCGCAUGAUUUGAACCAUAAUACGCAUUCGUAUGUUUGACUCGAGAGCAUGGAAUAUAUGUUAUGGAGUUGCCUAUGCAUCUAUAUUGAUGGUCUUGAAUAGUAGAUUUGUUAUUAUGAGAACAGUAAGAGUAAAGCAAGAAGAGUGUUGCCAUGUUUUGCAAUUGAUAAAUAAUUGCUUGUUUAGGGCGCUUUCGAGGUGAACGACUUCCCUACGCAAAGUCUAGGAAGUUCACCCUAUGCGAAAUCUAGGAAGUUCACUUAUUGCGUUUAUUUCAUAUUUGUUUGUUGAAAUGUUUAUAGACCCUAAGAAUGGCUAAGGACGACAGAUUCGUUUUGGCCUCCCCAUUGAGCACAAUCAUGAGGUGAUGGAGUACCCUGUAGUGGGAGGGCCGAUGCGCAUUGUAUGCAUUACGUCAUGACCAUUUGGGUCAAUGAUGGUCUGCCUAACCUUGUGCCACACCCAUGCGUGGCCUAGUACUUUUGGGUGGGCAUCGAGAGCUACUAUUCCAUCCAUGGCUUCGAGGGUCUGUCGGGUGUCGGAGGCUUUGCAGGAGGCAUCAGCUGGGAUGCCAAGGAUGGGGAUGUUCCCGAUAGGGAGGUGUUCGACCACAAGAUUGACCCUGCGCUAAUUGUCAAGUUGGAGGCAUGGAUCCCGAAGACCAUUAGGGCUCAGGUAGUAGUGGGAUUGCUAGUACUUUUUAGACCAUCCUCGUAGUAUUAUAGGCAUGGGUAUACGCCAAGCCUUUUUUGUAGGAGGUUAUGGUGAAACGGUUAGGCGUACUGAAUAUGAUGAAGUUGGUUAUUUAACCUUUGAAUUUGUGGUGUAUGAGAUUUUGACUCAUGACACUUAUAUAUAUAUAUAUAGGAUUAUGUUUUUAAUUAUCUCUGUU